This is a long non-coding RNA of Alnus glutinosa, 473 nucleotides long. RefSeq lists it as uncharacterized. The transcript is spliced from 4 exons. Lineage: Eukaryota; Viridiplantae; Streptophyta; Magnoliopsida; Fagales; Betulaceae. The record is from RefSeq and is a predicted model, not a curated record.
UUUUUUCUGAAAUUUCAGAACUCUCCCUUAGCGUCUUCUCUCCCUCUCUCAUGUCCGUCUCUCCCUCUCCCUCUCCCUCUCAUUCUCACUCUCUCUUCUACGUGACUCUCCUCUCCAAGUUACCCUAGCACUUGACAGAUAUUCCACACCUCGUUUGAAUGUUAGAUCGUCUGCUUGUAGCGGUUCAAGUAAUAUAGAGCACGUUGUUGCGUAUCCGUUAUUUGCUGUUCAUGUAUCGGCGGUUUCUGAUAACUACUAGAGGACAGAUUUGAAGAAGGGAAGCCUUGCAAGGCUUAGUGCGCGUCGUUCAUAGGAGCCUUAAGGUUUCAAAGUCUAGCUUCAAGAAGAGGAACAUGCAAAAUGUUAAGAUCCCUUGUACGAAGUGAGAUGCUAGGCGACUAGGCUGUCAUUUCGUUAUAGUUUCUCUUGCUCUCUCAUGGUAGAUUCCAAUGUUCAAAUUAUAUCUAUGGAAA